AGAGGGUGCUGCAAAGUUUGCGCC
RNAcentral lists this non-coding RNA (24 nucleotides) under Arabidopsis thaliana (thale cress). Lineage: Eukaryota; Viridiplantae; Streptophyta; Magnoliopsida; Brassicales; Brassicaceae. The record is from RNAcentral.